CUUAAAUGAUUGCGCUGAAUGUAGUCGAGAUAUAAUCUGUACAAAAUGAAAAGUCUUGUGCUUUGUGUCUGUGUUUUAAUACUUGCUUCAUCAAGCUCAGAACUAAGAAAAUAGCUCAAAAGUACAGUUAAAUCAAACCUAGACAAUGAUGCUGCAGCGUGCAUGACUGAAAAUAAUAUGACUAAAGAUGACCACUACAUAGAAUAUGAGAUAACAAAUGACACACACGAGGAACCUGAAAAUGCAGAAAGAACAAGAAAAAAAUGACUAAUGCAGCAAGAAAUAUUACACAAGUAUGUGAGAAAGGUUUCUCUCUGUACGCAUGCGUCGCAGAAACUUUAUUUAAAUCACGAACCUGAAAAACAUGAAAUAUUAGAAGCAGAAGCAGCAGAAAUAGAAGACGAAGUGAUAACAGCUAAAAUAAGCUGAAUAAAUACAAAUAAAUAAAAAUUAGAUAUUACCCAUAUAAUUAUUAAUGCACAUGUAUAAUACACACACUACAUAAUUUAUCUUAAAUAUAUAUAUAUAUAUAUAUAUAUAUAUAUACUCUCUUGUAUGUACACUGUGCGCAUCAAUGAUUUCUUUUCUGAGGUCAGGGGGAAACAUAGAAGUCUAGAGACGCUAUUAGUAACUUCUAUUAAAAUCAUUAGAAUUUUUAUGUUCCCUCUUUACCUCAGGAAAGGAAUUAUUGACGCGUAUUUUAUUCUCUCUAUUCUUAUUUUUCUGAUUUAAUAAAUGUGCUGCAAAUAUG
Temnothorax curvispinosus is the source of this 751-nucleotide long non-coding RNA. RefSeq lists it as uncharacterized. The record is from RefSeq and is a predicted model, not a curated record. Lineage: Eukaryota; Metazoa; Arthropoda; Insecta; Hymenoptera; Formicidae. The transcript has 4 exons.